This 431-nucleotide ribosomal RNA is filed under the name uncultured bacterium. RNAcentral's name for it is "partial 16S ribosomal RNA". It matches the Rfam family "Bacterial small subunit ribosomal RNA", at positions 29 to 507 of the family's 1533-position model. The record is from RNAcentral.
AACGAACGCUGGCGGCAGGCCUAACACAUGCAAGUCGAGCGCCCCGCAAGGGGAGCAGCGGACGGGUGAGUAACGCGUGGGAAUAUGCCCUUUGCUACGGAAUAGUCUCGGGAAACUGGGGGUAAUACCGUAUACGCCCUUUGGGGGAAAGAUUUAUCGGCGAAGGAUUAGCCCGCGUUGGAUUAGGUAGUUGGUGGGGUAAUGGCCUACCAAGCCGACGAUCCAUAGCUGGUUUGAGAGGAUGAUCAGCCACACUGGGACUGAGACACGGCCCAGACUCCUACGGGAGGCAGCAGUGGGGAAUCUUAGACAAUGGGGGCAACCCUGAUCUAGCCAUGCCGCGUGAGUGAUGAAGGCCUUAGGGUUGUAAAGCUCUUUCAGCUGGGAGGAUAAUGACGGUACCAGCAGAAGAAGCCCCGGCUAACUCCGUG